GAUGAAGAACGUAGUGAAAUGCGAUAAGUAGUGUGAAUUGCAGAAUUCAGUGAAUCAUCGAAUCUUUGAACGCACAUUGCGCCCUUUGGUAUCCCAAAGGGCAUGCCUGUUCGAGCGUCAUUUGUACCCUCAAGCUUUGCUUGGUGUUGGGCGUCUUGUCUCUAGCUUUGCUGGAGACUCGCCUUAAAGUAAUUGGCAGCCGGCCUACUGGUUUCGGAGCGCAGCACAAGUCGCACUCUCUAUCAGCAAAGGUCUAGCAUCCAUUAAGCCUUUUUUUCAACUUUUGACCUCGGAUCAGGUAGGGAUACCCGCUGAACUUAAGCAUAUCAAUAAGCGGAGGA
This 341-nucleotide unclassified non-coding RNA is filed under the name soil metagenome. Its description in RNAcentral is "partial contains 5.8S ribosomal RNA, internal transcribed spacer 2, and large subunit ribosomal RNA". The stretch from base 1 to 120 matches the Rfam family "5.8S ribosomal RNA", at positions 35 to 154 of the family's 154-position model. The record is from RNAcentral.